UCAACGGAGAGUUUGAUCCUGGCUCAGGACGAACGCUGGCGGCGUGCUUAACACAUGCAAGUCGAACGGAUUCGUGGCACUUGUGUCGCGGGUUAGUGGCGAACGGGUGAGUAACACGUGAGUAACCUGCCCCAGACUCUGGGAUAACUCCGGGAAACCGGUGCUAAUACUGGAUAUGACAUCAAGCCGCAUGGUUAUGGUGUGGAAAGUUUUUCGGUCUGGGAUGGGCUCGCGGCCUAUCAGCUUGUUGGUGAGGUAGUGGCUUACCAAGGCGACGACGGGUAGCCGGCCUGAGAGGGCGACCGGCCACACUGGGACUGAGACACGGCCCAGACUCCUACGGGAGGCAGCAGUGGGGAAUAUUGCACAAUGGGCGCAAGCCUGAUGCAGCGACGCCGCGUGAGGGAUGACGGCCUUCGGGUUGUAAACCUCUUUCAGUAGGGAAGAAGCGAAAGUGACGGUACCUGCAGAAGAAGCACCGGCUAACUACGUGCCAGCAGCCGCGGUAAUACGUAGGGUGCGAGCGUUGUCCGGAAUUAUUGGGCGUAAAGAGCUUGUAGGCGGUUUGUCGCGUCUGCUGUGAAAAUCCGGGGCUCAACCCCGGACUUGCAGUGGGUACGGGCAGACUAGAGUAUGGUAGGGGAGACUGGAAUUCCUGGUGUAGCGGUGGAAUGCGCAGAUAUCAGGAGGAACACCGAUGGCGAAGGCAGGUCUCUGGGCCAUUACUGACGCUGAGAAGCGAAAGCAUGGGGAGCAAACAGGAUUAGAUACCCUGGUAGUCCAUGCCGUAAACGUUGGGAACUAGGUGUGG
Molecule: ribosomal RNA, 811 nt
Filed under: Humibacillus sp.
Lineage: Bacteria; Bacillati; Actinomycetota; Actinomycetes; Micrococcales; Intrasporangiaceae
Description: bacterial SSU rRNA
Rfam family: Bacterial small subunit ribosomal RNA
Source: RNAcentral